CACAGUACUGUCUGACUCUCGCGGAUUUUUAUGAUCCGUACAUUUCCUUUGAGGUAACCCGCUCCGCGUUACAUAGUUGCAAAAAAUGUUGAUUAAAAAAAUCUGAGGCGGUUUCAAGCUGCCCCAUGUCACCCCCUCUCCCACUUCUCCGGUCCCUCCUCCUCGCGGUGCGCCGGUUUCAAGGCGACCCUCCGGUAGGGGAAAGUAAAGCGCUACAGCGGAGACAAACCCGCUGCAGGAGAGGAGACAGUCGGUCCGUCCUCCGCUGCAGCUCCGGACGCAUGCUGCGGAGACAUGGGUCCGCUUGUGUGGCUGUCCGCACCGCCGAGCGGAGCAAAAACGAAGAGGCCGCUCCGCGACAGCCCUCACCCCGCUGACCUGUCUGUUCGCAGCGCCUGUCAUCCCGGACGGGACCCGGGGAGGGAAUUACCAGGCGGAGAUCAGAGUGAUGUCCCGUCCCGGGCCCGUCCGAGGGGACCAAGCCGGCCUUUGUUCUCCAAAUCGCUCCGACUGGGAAUUCAGACAAUGCCUUUAGAUUAGGCCCCCAUUGUUGCCGUCUUUUCACCCUGCGUGCAGGAGGCAGGUUUCAUCUUCUCGUUGUUGUUUUUCUUGUCAAAUGCCGCGGCGUUCGCGGGGGGUUAUCGCCCCUUUUGAGGUGGGUUUGUCCGCUGUAUGGGCAGUGGAGCGUCGUGGUGGCAUUCAUAAAUUUUUAUGACACAGAUUAUUUUGACAGAUAUUGUGAUUCACGAUUAUAUGGGAAUGAUCAUUUUUGCAUCACUAAUUGGAUUUUCACCCCCCCAAGAAAUCUAUUAAAAUCAUGAUCAUGUGA
Molecule: long non-coding RNA, 829 nt
Organism: Dicentrarchus labrax (European seabass)
Lineage: Eukaryota; Metazoa; Chordata; Actinopteri; Moronidae
Exons: 2
Source: RefSeq, a predicted model, not a curated record